Molecule: ribosomal RNA, 468 nt
Filed under: uncultured bacterium
Lineage: Bacteria
Description: partial 16S ribosomal RNA
Rfam family: Bacterial small subunit ribosomal RNA
Source: RNAcentral
GACGAACGCUGGCGGCGUGCUUAACACAUGCAAGUCGAACGGAAAGGCCCUGCUUUUGUGGGGUGCUCGAGUGGCGAACGGGUGAGUAACACGUGAGUAACCUGCCCUUGACUUUGGGAUAACUUCAGGAAACUGGGGCUAAUACCGGAUAGGAGCUCCUGCUGCAUGGUGGGGGUUGGAAAGUUUCGGCGGUUGGGGAUGGACUCGCGGCUUAUCAGCUUGUUGGUGGGGUAGUGGCUUACCAAGGCUUUGACGGGUAGCCGGCCUUAGAGGGUGACCGGCCACAUUGGGACUGAGAUACGGCCCAGACUCCUACGGGAGGCAGCAGUGGGGAAUAUUUCACAAUGGGCGGAAGCCUGAUGCAGCAACGCCGCGUGCGGGAUGACGGCCUUCGGGUUGUAAACCGCUUUCGCCUGUGACGAAGCGUGAGUGACGGUAAUGGGUAAAGAAGCACCGGCUAACUACGUG